CUGGUCUCAAUCAGGUAGGAUCACCCGCUGAACUUAAGCAUAUCAAUAAGCGGAGGA
This 57-nucleotide ribosomal RNA is filed under the name uncultured fungus. RNAcentral describes it as "partial 28S ribosomal RNA". Lineage: Eukaryota; Fungi. The record is from RNAcentral.